CUGUAAUUAGAAGAAGAAAACCUAUUAUUUUUCCCACCGAUGUCCUGGAAGGAGCACAGAAGCAAGCGAUAGCAGACUUCAGAAAUCUCCAUGGCAAGUUCCAGGCACUCGCCAGUCUCGUGGCAGGACUCAAAGAGGCUGCAAUCAAUGUCACAGUCACAGUUGCAGUCAUUGUUGGAGUGGUCUUCAUCGGAGGUCUGGUAGUAUCUAUUGGAUGGACAACAGGAAAUCUUUUCUGGGCUGCCUGUUGCUGUGCUCUUAUUCAGUCUUUGCUGGAAGUCAAUGCACAAACACCCAAAGCUUUUGUGGAAAGUGGAGCAAGUCUUCAGACUCUCCAGUUCUGGUUCUUACUGCUGUACCUGGUUGUUCUGGAUGCAUGGGACAUGGUGUCCUUAGCCCAUGAAUUAGAUUUGGUAUCUGGGUAAGGACUGAGAUGAUCUUAUGAAAGCUGUACUCACAGUGGGCAGAAAACAAUUACAGAUUCCUCAUCUAUUUACAGUUUGGCUUCUAUUAAAGGUUUGAUUCCGUGCAACUGUUUAAUGACUGCUAGAUGGCCUAGCCAAAGAGAAGGGGUAACAGCAAAUACAGAGAACCACCCUUACAGAGGGCAGUGCAGAUGGAUUCUCAGCCCAAGGCCCUUCUUCUUUCACUCCCAGAUUUUACCACUUUUUCAUUUACAGCCUUGUCAACUUCCAAAACAAGACAAAAAAUAUAUAUAUAAAAAAUUGGAAAACAAUAUCAGGAAGGAUCAUGUCAGCCUGUGACAGAAGACUUUCUGUUCUAUUCAGUCCCCCACAAAAAAACAUAUGUAUGUAUUGGUUACCACCCCAAGUUCAAACUAUGGCAUCUGGGGAAGCUGGUGGAGUGCAGCAGGGCUCCAAGCAGGUGCAAGAUUCUGACGGUGUGAAUCCUGUUGGAUUGCAAAGAACCAAACGUUUCCAUUUUCUUCCCUCCUUGUUUUUGGAAAAGAAAAAUGCUUUCAACAACACAAAUGUUUUUUCAUUGGUUCGUUCAGGAAAGCAUAUGGUUACAUCCGCAUUUCUUGCCCUGGGAUGACUAACUGUGAACUCAUUCAACUGCAUUGGUUCUGUUGUGGCAUUUUUUUAUCUCACGUAACAUAAAGUUCACAGCCAGGAAGUUUCCAGAAUUAUGUUCCUUUUUUUCCACCUUUCUUUUAUAUGAAAGAUUUCUUGAUGGAAAACAAAAUUAAAAAUCAUUCUGAUGUCUUUAUGUAUACAAAAAGAAGGCAGUUAUAGCAGGUAGCAAGAACAAA
This is a non-coding RNA of Coturnix japonica (Japanese quail), 1273 nucleotides long. The record is from RefSeq and is a predicted model, not a curated record. NCBI's taxonomy places the organism in Eukaryota, Metazoa, Chordata, Aves, Galliformes, Phasianidae.